This 807-nucleotide ribosomal RNA is filed under the name Triticum aestivum (bread wheat). RNAcentral's name for it is "partial small subunit ribosomal RNA". The record is from RNAcentral. Lineage: Eukaryota; Viridiplantae; Streptophyta; Magnoliopsida; Poales; Poaceae.
AUGAGUUCGAUUGGAAGGGGUGCUGGUUGUGCAAAUGUGGCAGUUGAUGCUGCUGCGGUAGCUUUGGCCAAGGUGUCACUUGUUAAUGGCGAAGGCAGUGAUGGGGAUGCAGGUAUUUCAUCGCCGGAUGUUAACGAUUUCAUCAUGCAAUCUUGCCGUGACAUCAAUGCCCAACAUGUUGCGCCUAAUUCCCCACUAACGCACAACAUGGCUGCGCCUCCCAAUGUUGAACCAUGUAGAGCUUCUGUUGAUGCUCAUGAGAGGAAGAAGCGGUUGAGGCUCCCCAAAGGUGUAGUUUAUUCCUCAAAUGUCACCAGCAAUUCUCAUGUUCCAGAUGCAUGUGUUGGAGUCCGUGUGCCAGUUGGCACAUCACUGGAUGUCUUUGCUAGUCUCAAUGUAACUGCAAGCGUGGGUUCGGUGAGUGAAGGCGGCCCUGCAGUAUGUUCGAGCCAAGGGAAGCGCAGGGUAGUUGUUGCAAAGAUUAAGCAUGGACUUCGUGGCACCCAUCCCACCAGUGGUGUAGCCACUAAAAUUGUUAAUCCAUCUCCGCGUCGGAGUCCACGCAUUGCCAGUGGUCCAGUGGUUGAUCGUGUCUAUCCGAAUGUUAAGCUUGAUGGAAAGCAUGUUUCUUUCGAGUGUUCAAAGGCUGGAGGUGGUUGUAGAGGACCUUCUGUUGAUGGCACUGGGCUCAACGGGAAUAAUGUUGUUUCUAGGAAGCAUCGGCCAAGGUUGUUGGGAGUGGACCAAAGAAGAAGGCGACAAAGUCCACAACGUCAAACGCUGGUGCUUGUGAUAGGAUCAAUGUAA